UUUUUAAUAGGGAUGUCAAUUGUUAAUUAAUUACAUACGGUCGUUCUUUAAUAUAACAAAUCAUUUUACAGAAACAUUACGCAGCUUUUUUGGACACUAAAUGUCGUGGGAUGUUUGCUGCGGAGUUCUCUUUCACUUCAGGCCUGUUGCUAAAGGAAGGAUUUAUGACGAUGAUUUGGCGACGUGUUGAGAGGCCCCUUCAUAAAGAUUGUCGUAACAAAUGGUAGAGAAUUAAAGUUAAUACAGAUGCUGCUGAAACAACCAAUGAAUACAAAGGUAUUGUUUUUUUUUUUGGAGUCUCCACAAUUCAACAUUAUGCAGUUAAUUAUCGACCUGUAAGAGGGAGGUAACCGGACAUUACUUCAAAAACCACUGAAACAGCAAAUUGUCAGCAAUGGUAUUGUUUCUGGAUUUGGUUUGCUCAUCACACUAGUAAACUUUGGAACUUUACUUUCGAUAGUUAAUUAAGAUCGACGAUGGAGAAGACAAGGAAGAUCCCGUAGUUAGAAAAUUCCUUAACUUGCAUGUUAUAUCUAAUAGAAUUAUUUUUUUUAAGUUCAUUUUCAUUUGAAUUAAUUAUUGUUUUGCAUGCUCAUUAUAGUUUAUUUUAUUUGAGUUAAUUUUUGUUUGUAGAUGUUCUAACUUUUGUUUAGUAGAAGUUGUCUAACAUGUCUCUUGCUUACCUCUUCGCUUAGCUUACUGCAUAUUCUUACUUUAAAUUGCUUUGCAUUUACCCU
Molecule: long non-coding RNA, 737 nt
Filed under: Agrilus planipennis (emerald ash borer)
Lineage: Eukaryota; Metazoa; Arthropoda; Insecta; Coleoptera; Buprestidae
Description: uncharacterized LOC112905422, transcript variant X1
Source: RNAcentral